AGAGUUUGAUCCUGGCUCAGGAUGAACGCUGGCGGUAUGCUUAACACAUGCAAGUCGAACGGUGUCUUCGGACACAGUGGCGGACGGGUGAGUAACGCGUGAGAAUCUGCCUUCAGGUCUGGGACAACCACUGGAAACGGUGGCUAAUACCGGAUGUGCCGCAAGGUGAAAGGUUAACUGCCUGAAGAUGAGCUCGCGUCUGAUUAGCUAGUUGGCAGUGUAAGAGACUACCAAGGCGACGAUCAGUAGCUGGUCUGAGAGGACGAUCAGCCACACUGGGACUGAGACACGGCCCAGACUCCUACGGGAGGCAGCAGUGGGGAAUUUUCCGCAAUGGGCGAAAGCCUGACGGAGCAAUACCGCGUGAGGGAGGAAGGCUCUUGGGUCGUAAACCUCUUUUCUCAGGGAAGAACACAAUGACGGUACCUGAGGAAUAAGCAUCGGCUAACUCCGUGCCAGCAGCCGCGGUAAUACGGAGGAUGCAAGCGUUAUCCGGAAUGAUUGGGCGUAAAGCGUCCGCAGGUGGCGAUGUAAGUCUGCUGUUAAAGCGUCUAGCUCAACUAGAUAAAAGCAGUGGAAACUACAUAGCUAGAGUACGUUCGGGGCAGAGGGAAUUCCUGGUGUAGCGGUGAAAUGCGUAGAGAUCAGGAAGAACACCGGUGGCGAAGGCGCUCUGCUAGGCCGUAACUGACACUGAGGGACGAAAGCUAGGGGAGCGAAUGGGAUUAGAUACCCCAGUAGUCCUAGCCGUAAACGAUGGAUACUAGGCGUGGCUUGUAUCGACCCGAGCCGUGCCGUAGCUAACGCGUUAAGUAUCCCGCCUGGGGAGUACGCACGCAAGUGUGAAACUCAAAGGAAUUGACGGGGGCCCGCACAAGCGGUGGAGUAUGUGGUUUAAUUCGAUGCAACGCGAAGAACCUUACCAAGGCUUGACAUGUCGCGAAUCUUCUUGAAAGGGGAGAGUGCCUUCGGGAGCGCGAACACAGGUGGUGCAUGGCUGUCGUCAGCUCGUGUCGUGAGAUGUUGGGUUAAGUCCCGCAACGAGCGCAACCCUCGUUUUUAGUUGCCAGCAUUAAGUUGGGCACUCUAGAGAGACUGCCGGUGACAAACCGGAGGAAGGUGGGGAUGACGUCAAGUCAGCAUGCCCCUUACGCCUUGGGCUACACACGUACUACAAUGCUCCGGACAGAGGGCAGCAAGCACGCGAGUGCAAGCUAAUCCCGGAAACCGGGGCUCAGUUCAGAUCGCAGGCUGCAACUCGCCUGCGUGAAGUCGGAAUCGCUAGUAAUUGCAGGUCAGCAUACUGCAGUGAAUUCGUUCCCGGGCCUUGUACACACCGCCCGUCACACCAUGGAAGCUGGUAGUGCCCGAAGUCAUUACUCCAACCUUUCGGGGAGGAGGAUGCCUAAGGCAGGACUGGUGACUGGGGUGAAGUCGUAACAAGGUAGCCGUACCGGAAGGUGUGGCUGGAUCACCUCCUU
Molecule: ribosomal RNA, 1481 nt
Filed under: Nostoc sp. 'Pannaria aff. leproloma cyanobiont' 2 Ch
Lineage: Bacteria; Bacillati; Cyanobacteriota; Cyanophyceae; Nostocales; Nostocaceae
Description: bacterial SSU rRNA
Rfam family: Bacterial small subunit ribosomal RNA
Source: RNAcentral